UUGGACACGGGGCCUUUUGUGAGGUCAUUAAGGUUGAUAAGGUCAUAAGGGUGGGGCCCUAAUCCCCCAGGACUGGUGUCCGUAUAAGAAGAGGAAGAGACACCAGAGAGUCUGUGUGUGUGCAGAGGAAAGGCAUGUGAGGACACUGGGAAAAGGUGGCUGUCUCUAAGCCAAGAAGAGCAGUCCCACCAGAAACCAACCCUGCUGUCACCUUGAUCUUGGACUUCGAGCCUCCAGAACUCUGAACAGCUCAGAUCCAGUGAGUUCCUAAGACUUGGCCAAGAAGGCUCUGCAGUUAGUGAAGCACAGAGACUCGAAUCCAGGACCCACCUCCAGCCCCUGGGAUACAGAAGGAAAACUCAAACUCAGGGGCUCAAGGACAUGUCAAAGGCACAGACAUAUGUUCCUGCAUUGAUCAAAUCAGGCUGUGCAGGUGGUUCGCUGCUCUGUGGACCAGCACAGCACUCGUAUCUAGUGGGUGUCUGAUAAAUACAUGCUGCUCGCCAGAAGGAACAUCAAGAGUAGAAGCCCAUUGCUCUCUGGUGACUUUUGUUUUCUUUCAGAAUGCAUAAACAGGGGGCCUGCUCUCCACGUGUAAACUGAUCUGGUGCAAUUCAGAUAGAAUAUAUUCUAGGACUGGUGCCUUCUUCAACUCAUGCAAAUAAAAGUGCAGCAUGGUCCAAAGUACUGGAGUCAUGAGAAGGGACAGAAAGAAAACCUCUCUUUAAAAAACUAGUGGCUGAAAAACAAAUAUUUGUGGUGCAAUAAAUUCGGAGUGCAAGAUAUCUUUCUUGGCUUCAGGUUAUCAUCUUGGAAAGAACACAGUGGUGGCACUAUCUCUGCAAGCAAAGGUCAAGAAAUUUGUCUCUAGAUGUCACAAGAAAAUCAGAAUAAGUGCAUAUUGCUGUAUUCCAAACUGUGACCCCAGGAAGUCAACAGACAGCCCAACUGCUGCCACUGCCCACAGGAGGCAGUUGGUACAGAGAUGACACUGAAGGGGACAAGACUACGAGCUACAUUACCAACAAAGUCUUGACUCACAAAAUGAUAUUUGCUUCUGGUCGCCAAUUGGACUUCUGGCUCUCCUCAACCAGCUUGUUAAUGGGAGUUUUUGUCAAAAAGAGCACUGAGUAGGGGAGUGAAUGAUGUGUGAAGCUAGAAAUUGUAAAGAAAAAGCAAUACAGUUCAGUAGGGAGAGUGCAGAUUUAGACUAGCAUCUGGGUCUGAGAUCCCACUUCUGUGCGACAGCCAGGAGCAAGUUCCUUUCUCUCUCUGAGCCCGUGUGUUCUCAUCUAUAGACUGGGGAUAGUACUACCUUGUGGGGGGUUAUGCAUUUACAAUGCUUAAUACUUGGAAGGCAUGCAAUAAGUGCUAACUAUUAUUACUAUUAUUAAUCUGUUGGAAACGAAAAAUUCAAAGCAUUUCUCUAUUACUUAUUGUGGAAUAGUACUGACGUCUUUUCAUAAUUUAAGUCCAUAUUUCAGAGUAAAAAAGACAUGAUGAUUGAUAUUUACUGGUUUGACUUAUAAAGUAAGAGUGACUUUUUACGUUAACUGACACACAUUUGAUUAGAAGCUUGGUCCUUCAACUUUAAAAAAUAAAGUAAUAAUAUUGAAACCGUAGAAGUAAAUCCUAGCAGCUGCUUGAGGAAUAAUUUCAAAUUGUGCAAGAUCACAAAUGAGAAGGCUAGCUAUCACUUGGAUGACUGUGUGUCAGAUUCUGCUCCUGAGACCUUUAUAUCCGGUAACUCACUCAAAUGAAGUAUGAGCAUAAUUAAUUUAAUAAGCCACUGUUGGGGAACUCUAGUAAACAUAUUUGAUGAGUUGAAAGGCGUGGUCUGAGUUCUGUGUUUGUUCAACCUGGGAGUUUGUUACUAGAUCUGGGGUUGUCAAAUUUAUUCUGUAAAUGAACAGAUGGCAAAUAUUUUGGGCUGAGUGGGUCCUAUAGUCUGUUUAACUACUUAACUUUGCUAUUGAAGUGCAAAAGCUACUUUACAUAAA
This 2000-nucleotide long non-coding RNA is filed under the name Equus asinus (donkey). RNAcentral describes it as "lncRNA (ENSEASG00005028346.1)". The record is from RNAcentral. Lineage: Eukaryota; Metazoa; Chordata; Mammalia; Perissodactyla; Equidae.